Xyrichtys novacula (pearly razorfish) is the source of this 295-nucleotide non-coding RNA. Lineage: Eukaryota; Metazoa; Chordata; Actinopteri; Labriformes; Labridae. The record is from the annotation of a GenBank genome assembly.
UUGCGACUUUCCGGGGGGAAAAAGAUGCGUCCCGGGUGGAAGCGAGAAAAUACAUAUGGUAUGUUGUAUCUGAACAGGUUAGCUUACGAGCUAAAGUUACUUAGCACAGAUGAAAGUUAAAACAAAGACGUUUAUCAAACUGUUAAAGCACACAAACCAUCGUCAUAUGAGAAAUCCGACGCUAUGACUCUCCACAAGUCGUCCUUCAGGUCGUUAUCUUUGUAAUGUUUGUGUCUUUUAUCAAAAAUCACUCUGUUCUCCGACACGUAAACAAUCAGCCAGUCGGCCAUGUUGG